Molecule: unclassified non-coding RNA, 300 nt
Filed under: Hevea brasiliensis (rubber tree)
Lineage: Eukaryota; Viridiplantae; Streptophyta; Magnoliopsida; Malpighiales; Euphorbiaceae
Source: RNAcentral
UGGCCCGGCGAGGGAGAAUUCGGCUAGCGUGGCUGGCGGGGCAGCGCCGGCUCCGUUGCAUUGCAUCUCGCCGGAACCGCAGUCCCCGGUGCUGCAAGAUCCACGACCAGAGGAGUCGAAUUUGCAGCCGGUGCGCGCCCAAAACCGGCCUGACCAGCCGCUUGGAGCCUGAAACGAGUGAGAGGAUCCUGACUGAAGUUCGAAGCCGGUUGUCUCCGACGGUGGGUUGCCGGCAUUGGAGAGAAUCCCGGGCCAGACGGUGUCUCCGCACUUAUUUGUGAAGGUGAAUGUAGUAGCGGA